RNAcentral lists this non-coding RNA (182 nucleotides) under Candidatus Rokuibacteriota bacterium. RNAcentral describes it as "Candidatus Rokubacteria bacterium 6S RNA". It matches the Rfam family "6S / SsrS RNA". Rfam says of the family: E. coli 6S RNA was the first non coding RNA to be sequenced, but its function was unknown until recently. It consists of 184 nucleotides that fold into an extended hairpin structure with a large single-stranded internal bulge. Lineage: Bacteria; Candidatus Rokuibacteriota. The record is from RNAcentral.
CUGUCCCUGCGCUGUUGGUGAUGCCGGAGGGAAGUUUCAACCUCGUUUACACAUCGGGUGUCGAACCGAGAGUGGUGUGCAAGCCCCUCUUCGAAGGGGAAGCCUGAAGCUCUCCAUCAAAGACGCCCACCUGGUCAUACCAGGUUCGAAACACCCCGGCACACGGCAGAGGCGGGGACUUU